GGAUUACACAGAUGUACAAAUGAGAAAUGCUAGGUCACUCCUACUAACACUCUCUUUUAACACAUCCAAUAAAAAUUGACCAUGUGUUCCACUUUUUAAUUUCAAUUAACCUGGAACCUGUUCAACCUGUUUCAAUAAUUUUAUUUAACAGUUGGAAGAGAAUAAGGUUAUGAAAUUGUACGGUAGCUACAAGGUAAAUUUAAAGCCUUAGACGACAAUAAGCACCAUCUCGUCCACUUUUUCAUCGUUAUGUUCUUCUUCUCUUUCUCUCUCCAACUGUUAAAUAAAAUUAUUAAAAACAAAAAUCAGAAUGUUUGGAAACAGGUUGAAUAGGUUUCAGAUUAAUUGAAAUAAAAAAAUGGGACACAUGAUCAAUUUUUAUUUGAUGUGUUAAAAGAGAGGGUUAGUAGGUGUGACCCUGGCAUUUCUCAUGUACAAAUAUAAUAUAGUUGAGUCAAUGUGGUGAACUCCGUUGUAACCUUUGUUUAGAUCAUGAGACACUUGGGUAAAGUGUUUUUUUUUUUCUUUCCAAAAACGAAUACAUGUUUGGUUUAAGAUAGUUUGUUUUAUUUUGUUCGCAAGACAGUGUUUUAUUGUUUCUCAGUCAUAAACACAAAACAAUAAAGUGUUGUGCCAGUUCCAAUGAAUUCCAACAUAUGAGGUGUUAAACAUUUUUUGGUUUGGUUGUAAAAUUAUGUUUCAUCUUCG
This 708-nucleotide long non-coding RNA is filed under the name Medicago truncatula (barrel medic). Its description in RNAcentral is "long non-coding RNA (MTRU_LNC007901)". Lineage: Eukaryota; Viridiplantae; Streptophyta; Magnoliopsida; Fabales; Fabaceae. The record is from RNAcentral.